Molecule: ribosomal RNA, 484 nt
Filed under: uncultured bacterium
Lineage: Bacteria
Description: partial 16S ribosomal RNA
Rfam family: Bacterial small subunit ribosomal RNA
Source: RNAcentral
AUUGAACGCUGGCGGCAGGCCUAACACAUGCAAGUCGAGCGGAUGAAGGGAGCUUGCUCCUGGAUUCAGCGGCGGACGGGUGAGUAAUGCCUAGGAAUCUGCCUGGUAGUGGGGGAUAACGUCCGGAAACGGGCGCUAAUACCGCAUACGUCCUGAGGGAGAAAGUGGGGGAUCUUCGGACCUCACGCUAUCAGAUGAGCCUAGGUCGGAUUAGCUAGUUGGUGGGGUAAAGGCCUACCAAGGCGACGAUCCGUAACUGGUCUGAGAGGAUGAUCAGUCACACUGGAACUGAGACACGGUCCAGACUCCUACGGGAGGCAGCAGUGGGGAAUAUUGGACAAUGGGCGAAAGCCUGAUCCAGCCAUGCCGCGUGUGUGAAGAAGGUCUUCGGAUUGUAAAGCACUUUAAGUUGGGAGGAAGGGCAGUAAGUUAAUACAUUGCUGUUUUGACGUUACCAACAGAAUAAGCACAGGAUAAAUUCGUG